GGAGGAUUCGCAUAGUGGUCGAGUGCGCUUGCUUGGAGUGCAAGUAUUCCGCUUAGCGGGAUCGCGAGUUCGAAUCUCGCAUCCUCCG
RNAcentral lists this transfer RNA (88 nucleotides) under Candidatus Kuenenbacteria bacterium CG1_02_38_13. RNAcentral's name for it is "tRNA-Ser". It matches the Rfam family "tRNA". Rfam says of the family: Transfer RNA (tRNA) molecules are approximately 80 nucleotides in length. Lineage: Bacteria; Candidatus Kueneniibacteriota. RNAcentral also lists the same sequence under 1 other name. The record is from RNAcentral.